This 8246-nucleotide long non-coding RNA is filed under the name Capsicum annuum. RNAcentral's name for it is "long non-coding RNA (CANN_LNC007422)". The record is from RNAcentral. Lineage: Eukaryota; Viridiplantae; Streptophyta; Magnoliopsida; Solanales; Solanaceae.
GACAAACAAAGGAAGGGAGCAAAAAAGAAUCAGCCACACAGCUUUGGAAGGCCUUCCAAUUCGCGUUCAGAGUCUAUACUUUCGCUGGUGGACAAGACGAGAGAGCAGAAAAGUUGACAAAAGAAUUGGCUGAAGUAAUCGAGACAGACCUUCAUCUUCAGACGUAAUAGUAGGCUCCCCAUUUUUUUCCAUAGGCUGCAAUCGAUCAUGCAAUCAGCAUGUUGAUGCUAUUCCUGGCUAGCGCCUUGUACGUGCAUGCUGCAUAAACUGCGAUGUUCAUGCUUAUACCAGGAGAGAAUUGCUAGAUGAAAAUGUUGUUAUUUGUAAAGACUGAGAGGAGAAAUUGAGCUAAAACUCUAGCUUUUACCUGUCACUGUUGAUACAUAAAAAAAAAAGACAGCCCGGUGCACUAAAGCUACCUCUAUGCACAGUGUCCGGGGAAGGACCCCAUCACAAUCACUGUUGAUACAUAAAAAAAGGACAGUUUGGUGCACUAAAGCUACCUAUGCACAGUGUCCGGGGAAGGACCCCACCACAAUCACUGUUGAUACAUAACAAAUAUAUAUAACACCUUUGUGACUGGUUUUGUAGCAUGGGUAUAUAGCAGCUAGCAAGACUGACUAUUUUUUCCUCGUCGAACAAAAAAGAACACACGCGUUACAACUAUAUAUCGAUUGAUUGUCUAGAGUGUUAACUUCUAUAUACUGUUGACGCUAUAGCCUUAAAACAUAACUACAAGUAACCUGCAGCUACAGCAAGGGUGAAAUAUACUUGUCGUGUAACAAAUAUUUGUACUGUCCAUGCAUAUAAGUUAAAUUCGUAUGUAAGUCGUUUAUUCUUCUAGAGCCAGUAUUUGCAGGCAUCUCUCAGACCAUUGAAUCCUACAUUUCCCUAAUUAACAACACAUUGUAAUUCCACUUGGGGUCUGGGGCUAUGUUGCUCAGACUUGUCAAAAAUAUCAAUAGGUGCGUGUCAGAUUCGCCAAAAUUAGUGUAUUUUUGACGAAUCCGACGCGGGUGCGACAAAUGAAAAGUCCGUGCAACUUAGGUCCAAGGAGGGUAAGGUGUACGCACACCGUACCGUACCUCUACCUCGUGGAGAUAGAGAGGUUGUCUCCGAUAAACCCUUGGCACAAGUAGCUCAUAACGACGCAAUGAUAUAGUGGUGUAAAACAGUAUAUAAAGUAGAGUAAAUGCACUGUUUUCACCCUGAACUAUAAACGAAAUUGCUGAGACACACCCGAACUUAAAGGGGGGCCUAUUACCCCCUGGACUAAUUAAAACCGUAUUUGUGGCAACCUUAGUGCCUACAUGGCACAUACAUGUGCCUACGUGGACCUUCAAUGUGUUGAUUCACGCAGUGUGCCACGUAGGCACUAAAGUUGCCAAAAAUAUGAUUUUAAUUAAUCCAGGAAUAAUAGGACCUCUUAAGUUGGAGUGUGUCUCAACAGUUUCGUUUAUAGCUCACGAUGGAAAUAGUGCAUUUUCUCUGUAAAAGUAAUAUCAAAGGUAUUAUGCAAUAGGAUUAAACCAAUCCUCCUAGUGAUAUCAAAGAAUAUUCAAAGUCCAAAAUAUAUUAAUUUGUCAAAAUUUGGUAAAAGCCUCUAUAAUGCAAGAUAUAUUAAUUUUAUUCUUGUUUGUUCAUGCAAUUUGGUCAGCUUUUAGUUCCACUAACUGAUUAAGACUAGUUUUUGCAUGAAAUUUAUUUUCACUUUCACACAAAAAACUUCAAAAAUAUUUCAAGUAAAAUGCAUAUCAAAACAUGUUCAACUUCAAGUUCCAAAAACUAUUUUUCAACACAAAUUCAGCAACUUUAAUUUUAUUUUUUUCAAGUUUCAAUUAAAUCUAUGACCAAACGAUAACUUAGUAACCUUAGUCACAUGAAUAUUAGUUUAAAUUACCCAUUAUCUCUUCUUAAUUAAUAAUCCAUUCAUGGAAAUAGUAAAGGUAGAUUUAGGAAAAAGUAAUACUAAAUGAUUUCUUUUUUGCAAAAAUAUAAAUAAAAAUUCGAAAUGGCUAAUUAUUAUUUUGGAAAGAAAUAAGUUAAGGUGACACAAAAAGGAAGUUCAUAAUGUGAUAUUUCUUUUAGCAAAACUUUGAAGUUUGAAUGCAUUCAUAUGAAUAUAUAUAUGGAAAUAAGUCAAUCAAGAUUAAAGAAUAAUAGGCAAAUGCAAUCAAGAAAAUGCAUCUCAAAAUAGAAUUUUUUUUGUUAAUAUAAUUAAAAAAAUUCUUAUAGAUAUAUCUUGAACUAUUUCUAUGCAAGUAAAAAACUUCUAGAAUGAUAUAUUAUAUAUAUAGUAUCUUGGAUACUUAAUUAUUUUAAAGAUAAGUUUGGAAAUUCUAUAUUCACACUUAUGUAUCAUAUAUGUACAAUAUGAACUUUUGUGCCGUCUGAAUUAUUUUAUAAUAAUCGUCUUUUGUAAUAAUAUUUUUUUAUAAUUGUCAAGUUCUUUUUGAAAAUAAUUGAGGUUUUAAAGGAUAAGAUUCUCUGAAAGUAAAAAUAGACAUAUUUAAUUAAUCCGAUCCAUUGUAGGAACUAUCCAUAAUUACAAACUUACAAAAUGAAUCAAUUUAUCAUUAUAAAGUGAUUCGACUUUCCUGAUUCUGCUCCACCUAAUGUCAUUUGAACAAAUAAUUUUUUAAUUUAAUACUAAUAAUAAAUAUUAAUAUCCAUUUAUAUAAUUUAUUAUUAAUUAUAUAAAAAAUCACUAAACCCAUAAAUUUAAUGGUUGGAAUCACAUAAUUAAUUAACUUUAUUUUCUUUCUUUCUUUUCUCUUUCUCCUUUGGAAACGAAAGAGAGAAAGAAACGAAAGUCUUUUGUCCUCAUGAAGAUGAUUUUGGUUUAGCCAAAUUUUCUCAAUAGCCUAAAGGGAAAAAAUUCUUUGUUUUUUUUCAUCAAUUUCCCAAAAAACAUCUUUAAUUAAAAUUUCUUUUACCAAAACAUAAAUUUUGGUUAAUAGAAAUUUGAAAAACUUUUUUAAAAAAUCUUUUUUUGUUGUUCUUCUUCCUAAAUUUCUCUUCAAAAGUCUUUUCGCGAAAAAGUAACUUGUUAUUAUUCGUUGAAAAUGGCGAGUGGGGUAUUUUGUGGUGUCGUUCCUUUCAUUUUUCGCAAAAAGUCUUCCCCGUUAAAGGUAUUUUUUUUUCGUCUAUAUUUAUUCAUAUACAAGUUGUGGAAACAUGGUAAGGCUGCGCACAAUAUAAGUAUAUGUUGAAGGACCUCUUUGGAAAUCUUUUUGUUUAAACUAUAUGUUGAUAAGGGAAAUAAUAUUUUAUUUGAAAAUCAAAGCACCCAGAUAUCUUCUUAGUUUCAUGGGUGCUUUUUUUCAUCUGUCAGAGUUUGUGACCCGAAUUUUGUUGAUUCGGCCGUUGUUUAAGAUUUCUUGUGGGGUCUGUGGUGGUAGACCCGAUUCCGGAGCCCACCACCAAUCCUGUUGCGGGUGCGGGGGCGAAGUUUUUAGGCUCAUCUUCUCACAUAACAGAAGCUUUAUGCACCGAGCUUCCCUUAACAUAUACAUUGAUCUAUGACGAACCUUAACAAAUACGUACAAUAGAUCCAAUGUUCGCACAUAGCAGAAGCUUUAUGCACCAUGGUUCCCUUAACAUAUCAAAUUUAUUUUUGAUAUAUCGAUGAAUCUCUCCUGUUGUAACGCCAUUACUAACAGUAGCUAACUUUAUCGUUUUUACAGGAAGAAGAUAUGCGUAAAAGUAGGAGAUUACAUACUAGAGUAAUAGCGAAAAUACCUUCAAUGUUGAUACCAAGAAGAUCAAAAUCAUCGAAAGGUUCCAAAUCGCGCUACUCAUGUGGAACGAAAACACCAAGUCCAAGAUUGCAGAGUCCAAAUAGGGUGAAAACAGCACCAAAAAGUCCCAGAAUGGCAAUAGCAACAAGUCCAACUUUUCACAAUUCAUGUGGGGUGGCUAGUAACUUUAGAAUAAUGACAGGUAUAAAAAACAAGAUCAUCACAUUGAGAAUAUUGUUUGAUCUUACUCCUUGUGAUGGCUCUGAAUCUGCAAAUGAGGUAUGUAUAUAUACGAAUACUAGUUAAAUCGCUCAGUUAUGUUGCUCGGACUAUCCAAAAAUGUUGAAGCAUAGAGUGAAGGGUGGUCAGUUGAACGUGUUUUCAUCGAAAGAUCAUAUUAUAUAGGUCCCUUUUUUUGGAUAACCGUGGUAUCUGGGCUUAGCUUGGGUGCACCUCGACUAAUUUCAUGGGAUACUACCACCUACCGACAGGUACCAGGUAACUCAAGGCUAGGAUAAAUGCGAAGAAAUCACCCAGUAUUUUUUGUCUCUACUGGGAUUUGAACCCGAGACCUUAUGGUUCUCAACAGUGACGGAGCCACUUUAUGCUGACACCUUUGUGACUUUCGUUACUUUGUGACAUUCGUUAACAAAAUUUCUGGCUCCGCCACUGAUUCUUAGCACCACUUCAUAUGUAUCGCUACAUGACAUCCUUGGGGUCUCAAAAAUCACUUUUUAUAAAUCCUUAACACCCUUAACGAAAUUUCUGGUUUUCCUCCAAAUAGAAAACUAUCUUUAGAGGAUCUGACAUGCACCCGUCAAAAUUUUUGAAGAUUCCGAGCAACAUACAGUCGAUUCACUCACUUAAGGGAAUAACAAGAACUGUCACUUUUAACCAACUUUUUCUGUUAUGAACAUGUUUUUCAACAGCUGCUGAUAUCAACUCUAAGGGAUCUACAUAAACUGUUUCCUUCUAUCAAUCCGAAUUUUUCGUUGUUGAAAAUAGAUGGAACAUCAAUACAUGAGGUAAUGUGAGUAUGUUUUUAAGCAAAAUCACAACUUACUGAGCUAACAACUCCAAAAUUUUCGCUGUUUCGUUCAGAAAGUGCGAUGCUUUUGUGAUAUAUUGAGAUCCAUCGGGGAACUGUGGACAGGCAACGAUGAAUGGAUGAUUAUGUGCAAAGAGAACUCGAACAGUAAACUAAAUGAUUUUGAGUAUGGUAUGAUCAUCUCUCUGUAUAGUUUCUUGUCUGUCGAUUUCUGUUACUAGCUAUUGUCUCAGAAUACUUUGCCAUGCUUUCGAUAGCAUUUUGAAUAUGGAUAUGUUUUUACUUGAGCCCGAGGGUCUAUCGGAAACAGCCCCUAUAUCUCGUAAGGUAGGAUAAGGUCUGCAUACGCUCUACCCUCUCCAGAUCCCACCUAUGGGCCGGAUUACACUGAGUAUGUUAUCGUUGUUGUAUUUUUGUCUUUGAUAUGCAGUUAUAAUGAUUUACUUAUGUUAAUUAUGUAGUGUUGGCAUUGCUCGAUGACAUUAUCAAGUUAGCUAGCGAACGGAUGGUAGAGAUGACAGAUGAGGACGAGACUGAGGAUGAGGAUGAUCGGACGAGAGAAACAAGUCCUUCAUCUGACGCGUUUGAGAAGAAUUUUUCGGAGAUGUUCUCGAGCAACAAUUCAUCCCUUUCGAGCUCUCCAACUUCAGUCCUCCCCGAGAUAAUAACCAAUGCCUCGAAGAAGAAUGCAAAAGCGGCGUCUAUCACUUCCCCUCUUCUCUUAUCGCUCAAGGUUCAAGCCGUUGGAAACCAGAACCCAAUCGAGGUAAAGCACCUCUCGUUCCACAUGUUACCCAAUGGAAAUCUACAUUAAAAUAAUGAAUGAAAUAAUGGACUUACCGGAGAUUCUACUGAAUAGUCUGGAGAAAGCAUCGGAGAAUGGUGGAAUAUUUUGGACCGGUGAUGCAUCAAAUGGCGAAGCAGUUCCAGCGCGUGUUACAUUUGACGUGCUUUUGCCUCCAUCUUCAAUUUCUAGGUUGCAAUCAAAUGUAACGGAACUGUCAUCAGUGCCGCCUUCACCAAACAUUUUAUCACCAAAGAUCGUAGGAUCACAAGUACCAACGCCACCUCAGCCGGAACCUCAACCAGAGUCGUCGUGUGAGAAUGAGGAACCAGCACCAUCGUCACCACCAGCACGCAUUACAUCAGGAAACACACCUCCACCUCCACCUCCACCUCCGCCACCUCCAAUUACAACAAAAGUUAGAGUAGUGCCUUGCCCUCCGCCACCACCUCCCAAGAAAUCGGAGAAAGUACAUUCAGCUCCACCUUUACCUCCACCUCCACCUCCACGUUCACCUAACGAAGGAUUAAAAGGUAUGGUAACCCCACACCCCCUUCCACCAAAGGCGUCAAAUGGAGCAGCACCAGCACCAGCACCAGCACCCCCUUCACCGAAGCCAAUAGGAAAGGUAGCUGAACCUCCACCGCCACCAACGCCAAGGGGAAAGAGACCUGCACCUCCAAAAUCACCAAGACUGGCAGUACCAGCCCCGCCUCCACCAAUGCAAACAAAAAUGGGAGGUGCACCUCCACCACCACCACCAACUUUUGCAGGUGCCAAAAAUCCACAAUCGACGAAAACAGCCACUAAACUGAAAAGAUCAUCCCAAAUGGGAGAUCUUUAUCGAUCACUUAAGGGAAAAGUCGAAGGAUCUAGUUUGCAAGGUAAACAAAAGGGAGGGAAGGGAAAAUUUAAUGCAUUGAAAGGAGAUAAACCAGGAAUGGCUGAUGCAUUAGCCGAGAUGACAAAGAGGUAAUCUUCUCUUCUUGAAAUCUCGAAUACUCCCUCCGAUUUAAUUUGCUUGUUUGGUUUUUACUUGGCACGGAGUUUAAGAAAGUACGAAUUAUAUCUCACAGAUCAGCAUAUUUCCAACAAAUCGAAGAGGAUGUUAAAAAUCAUGCAAAACUAAUCAAGGAGAUGAAAAAGGCCAUUGCUUCUUUCCAAACAUCAGAUAUGUCUGAGCUCAUUACAUUCCACAAUUAUGUAGAAUCCCAACUCGAGAAACUAACAGACGAAACUCAGGUUCAUUCUGCAUUUCGUAUUUCUGUCAUAACUAACCAUUUCAGGAUGUUGCCUUAAAAGACUUUCUUGUUACAGGUCCUAGCAAGAUUUGAAGAUUUUCCUUGUAAGAAGUUGGAAGCGUUGAGGACGGCAGCAACUCUCUAUUCCAAAUUAGAUUCAAUAGUCUCUACUUUACAGAAUUGGCAACCAGCCUCGCCUGUCGGCCAACAUCUUGCCAGGGCUGAGAGGUACUUCAACAAGGUAGAAAACUGUCCCUGGACCUCAUCAAAACUUCCCACGACUUGAUUUCGCGUUAGCAGUUCUAACGAAUAGUUCUUUCAUAUAGAUAAAAGGAGAUGUGGACACUCUGGACCGGACUAAAGACGAAGAAUCCAAGAAACUAAAAACACAUCAAAUCCAGUUUGACUUUGGCGCCCUUGUGCGUAUCAAAGAAUUGAUGGUGGAUGUUUCCUCAAACUGUAUGGAACUUGCACUGAAGGUUAGUACAAUCAAAAUCACUCUACAUGAUACAAUGAUAUAAAUUGAAAUGCAUUUUAAAUACAUAACUUUCCUGUAGCUUCUUGUCAUUCGAUUUCUGUAAGUAUCUACCAUCUCUUGUACUUUGAUUAUCACAUUAUUUUGUUGUACUUACUGUUCCUUUUUUUCAAAGUUCUUUGCCAUGCUUUCCUUGGUGUCUGCUUUGAUAUGCUUUUCCUUGAGCCAAGUGUCUACUUGAAACAGCCUCUCUACCUCCCACGGUAGGGGUAAGGUCUGUGUACACUCCGCCCUCCCUGGACCCCACUUGUGGGAUCACAAUGGGUAUGUUGUUGCUAUGUUGCUCGGACUCUUCAAAAAUGUCUACGACUGAGUGGCAGAUUCUCCAAAAGUAGUAUAUUCUUGGAGAAUCUGACAUGGGUGCGGCAUGAAAAGUGAAGAGUCCUCGUGACUUAGUGUUGUAUGUAUUUAGAUAGAGUAGAUUUGUUUAGGGAUAAGGUUUGAGCAACUUCACAAACAUGUAUAUGCUCGUAUAAACAUGUCGAUCAACAUUUUCUAAAUCUGCUUACAUGGUAUUCGCGUUAACAUUUUUUGAUAUAAUGCUGCAAUGUCGAAUCAGGAAAAGAGAGAAGAAACGGAAAGGGAAAAAGAAGGAACCGGACAAACAAAGGAAGGGAGCAAAAAAGAAUCAGCCACACAGCUUUGGAAGUCCUUCCAAUUCGCGUUCAGAGUCUAUACUUUCGCUGGUGGACAAGACGAGAGAGCAGAAAAGUUGACAAAAGAAUUGGCUGAAGUAAUCGAGACAGACCUUCAUCUUCAGACGUAAUAGUAGGCUCCCCAUUUUUUUCCAUAGGCUGCAAUCGAUCAUGCAAUCAGCAUGUUGAUGCUAUUCCUGGCUAGCGCCUUGUACGUGCAUGCUGCAUAAACUGCGAUGUUCAUGCUUAUACCAGGAGAGAAU